Molecule: ribosomal RNA, 420 nt
Filed under: uncultured bacterium
Lineage: Bacteria
Description: bacterial SSU rRNA
Rfam family: Bacterial small subunit ribosomal RNA
Source: RNAcentral
GAGGAAUAUUGGUCAAUGGAGGCAACUCUGAACCAGCCAUGCCGCGUGUAGGACGAAUGCCCUCUGGGUUGUAAACUACUUUUAUUGGGGAAGAAACCCUCUUACGUGUAAGAGGCUGACGGUACCCAAGGAAUAAGGACCGGCUAACUCCGUGCCAGCAGCCGCGGUAAUACGGAGGGUCCAAGCGUUAUCCGGAAUCAUUGGGUUUAAAGGGUGCGCAGGCGGUAGUGUAAGUCAGUGGUGAAAUCUCUCGGCUCAACCGAGAAACUGCCAUUGAUACUGCAGUACUUGAAUACAGUUGAAGUAGGCGGAAUGUGUAGUGUAGCGGUGAAAUGCUUAGAUAUUACACAGAACACCGAUAGCGAAGGCAGCUUACUAAACUGAUAUUGACGCUCAUGCACGAAAGCGUGGGGAGCGAAC